This 465-nucleotide ribosomal RNA is filed under the name Vreelandella stevensii. RNAcentral's name for it is "partial 16S ribosomal RNA". It matches the Rfam family "Bacterial small subunit ribosomal RNA", at positions 338 to 795 of the family's 1533-position model. Lineage: Bacteria; Pseudomonadati; Pseudomonadota; Gammaproteobacteria; Oceanospirillales; Halomonadaceae. The record is from RNAcentral.
CCUACGGGAGGCUGCAGUGGGGAAUAUUGGACAAUGGGCGAAAGCCUGAUCCAGCCAUGCCGCGUGUGUGAAGAAGGCCUUCGGGUUGUAAAGCACUUUCAGUGGGGAAGAAAGCCUUGGGGCUAAUACCCUCGAGGAAGGACAUCACCCACAGAAGAAGCACCGGCUAACUCCGUGCCAGCAGCCGCGGUAAUUCGGAGGGUGCGAGCGUUAAUCGGAAUUACUGGGCGUAAAGCGCGCGUAGGCGGUCUGAUAAGCCGGUUGUGAAAGCCCCGGGCUCAACCUGGGAACGGCAUCCGGAACUGUCAGGCUAGAGUGCAGGAGAGGAAGGUAGAAUUCCCGGUGUAGCGGUGAAAUGCGUAGAGAUCGGGAGGAAUACCAGUGGCGAAGGCGGCCUUCUGGACUGACACUGACGCUGAGGUGCGAAAGCGUGGGUAGCAAACAGGAUUAGAUACCCGUGUAGUC